GACAGUGGGGAAGGUUUCAUGCCUGGAGUCCAUUCUGUGCUUCUCCUGUAAAGAAAUGGAAGACUUCAGUCUCCAGCCAACCAACACUUCUCAGGUGGACAGUCAGAGGACAGCCAGAAGUGAAUCACUACGAGAAAACAGAUAAGCCUUUCCAAAACAUGCUUGAACCUGUAUGCUACUCCUUGGCGGCAGUUGAUGAUUUAAGCAAGAGUGUCUCCGGGAGCACAUGAUUACUUACAGAAAAUGCAUGCCAGUCAACUGUGUCAUCCACUCCAAGUCCACUUCUCUCAUCCAGGUGACAUCAUCCAGGCUGACAAAGUAAAACCAUCAAGACUAGAAGACAAGAAAUAAUUUUGAAAGCUGAAAGGAAAAUCAAAACGUACAUGUUCUCCAAGAGGAAGACAAAGCAGGUUUUCCAGCUCACUGAUAAUGUUGGGCAUAUUUCAUAUCAAAUUUUGUCAAAAGUUCUCGAGGCUCAUCUUGAGCUCUGACAGACAUUUAUCUACCAAAGGAAUUAAGUCACAAAAAGGAACACAAGACGGGGAUUUAGAUUAUUAAAAGCUAUGCAAUUUUAAAGAUUUUGUGGUGAGUGGAAAUAAAAUACAAAUGACUUGGUUUUCCAGGGCCGUGUAUCUUGUGAGGUUAUUUACACCUAUACAAAAUGGAUGAAAAAUUCUGUCAGAUCAGAAUAGUAAUAUUUUAUACUGAUUCUGCAAACGUGUAAAGGACCACAAAAGGUACAGACAACUGCACAGAGCAUCAACUCCAAACUUUUAGGCUGGCAUCUUCAAAUGGGCCUAAAGGAGUUAAGCACUGGAGCUGGUUAGACAAUGUGUUUUUUCCCAUUGAAAAUUUUGACUCUUCAUCAAAAACCUGAAAACUUCUUGGUUUUCAGGCAAAAAUAUUGCUGACUGCUUCCAUUUUGGGGUGUUUAAGGAAUGUUUAGUUUUCCACCUAAAUUUAGACAGAAAACAUUUCAACAGCGCUAUUAGGCAUCCACUUCCCAUUGCAUUUCAAUAGAAGCUGUGUGCCUAAUUCUCUUAGACACCUUUGAAAAUCCAAGCCCAAGAGCCUACGAAAAAGCAUUCUGUUUUGAUGUGCUUGUGUCAUUACUUGCCUUAUUGCUGUU
Gopherus flavomarginatus (Mexican gopher tortoise) is the source of this 1129-nucleotide long non-coding RNA. RefSeq lists it as uncharacterized. Lineage: Eukaryota; Metazoa; Chordata; Testudines; Testudinidae. The record is from RefSeq and is a predicted model, not a curated record. The transcript is spliced from 4 exons.